CUACGUGCCAGCAGCCGCGGUAAUACGGAGGGUGCGAGCGUUAAUCGGAAUAACUGGGCGUAAAGGGCACGCAGGCGGUGACUUAAGUGAGGUGUGAAAGCCCCGGGCUUAACCUGGGAAUUGCAUUUCAUACUGGGUCGCUAGAGUACUUUAGGGAGGGGUAGAAUUCCACGUGWAGCGGUGAAAUGCGUAGAGAUGUGGAGGAAUACCGAAGGCGAAGGCAGCCCCUUGGGAAUGUACUGACGCUCAUGUGCGAAAGCGUGGGGAGCAAACAGGAUUAGAUACCCUGGUAGUCCACGCUGUAAACGAUGUCGAUUUGGGGGUUGAACUUUAGGUUUGGCGCCCGUAGCUAACGUGAUAAAUCGACCGCCUGGGGAGUACGGCCGCAAGGUUAAAACUCAAAUGAAUUGACGGGGGCCCGCACAAGCGGUGGAGCAUGUGGUUUAAUUCGAUGCAACGCGAAGAACCUUACCUACUCUUGACAUCCAGAGAACAUUC
RNAcentral lists this ribosomal RNA (498 nucleotides) under uncultured bacterium. RNAcentral's name for it is "bacterial SSU rRNA". It matches the Rfam family "Bacterial small subunit ribosomal RNA", at positions 501 to 1000 of the family's 1533-position model. The record is from RNAcentral.